Molecule: ribosomal RNA, 370 nt
Filed under: uncultured bacterium
Lineage: Bacteria
Description: bacterial SSU rRNA
Rfam family: Bacterial small subunit ribosomal RNA
Source: RNAcentral
GGAGGGAGCUAGCGUUAUUCGGAAUUACUGGGCGUAAAGCGUACGUAGGCGGUUAUUCAAGUCAGAGGUGAAAGCCCGGGGCUCAACCCCGGAACUGCCUUUGAAACUAGGUAGCUAGAAUCUUGGAGAGGUCAGUGGAAUUCCGAGUGUAGAGGUGAAAUUCGUAGAUAUUCGGAAGAACACCAGUGGCGAAGGCGACUGACUGGACAAGUAUUGACGCUGAGGUACGAAAGCGUGGGGAGCAAACAGGAUUAGAUACCCUGGUAGUCCACGCCGUAAACGAUGAUAACUAGCUGUUCGGGCACUUGGUGCUUGAGUGGCGCAGCUAACGCAUUAAGUUAUCCGCCUGGGGAGUACGGUCGCAAGAUUA